CAGCCGCCGCGGUAAUACGGAGGGUGCAAGCGUUAAUCGGAAUUACUGGGCGUAAAGCGCACGCAGGCGGUCUGACAAGUCAGAUGUGAAAUCCCCGGGCUUAACCUGGGAACUGCAUUUGAAACUGUCAGGCUGGAGUCUUGUAGAGGGGGGUAGAAUUCCAGGUGUAGCGGUGAAAUGCGUAGAGAUCUGGAGGAAUACCGGUGGCGAAGGCGGCCCCCUGGACAAAGACUGACGCUCAGGUGCGAAAGCGUGGGGAGCAAACAGGAUUAGAUACCCGUGUAGUCCCUGUCUCUUAUAU
RNAcentral lists this ribosomal RNA (301 nucleotides) under uncultured bacterium. RNAcentral describes it as "partial 16S ribosomal RNA". It matches the Rfam family "Bacterial small subunit ribosomal RNA", at positions 509 to 809 of the family's 1533-position model. The record is from RNAcentral.